CCUACGGGUGGCAGCAGUGAGGAAUAUUGGUCAAUGGACGAGAGUCUGAACCAGCCAAGUAGCGUGAAGGAUGACUGCCCUAUGGGUUGUAAACUUCUUUUAUAUGGGAUUAAAAUGUUCCACGUGUGGGAUUUUGUAUGUACCAUAUGAAUAAGGAUCGGCUAACUCCGUCCCAGCAGCCGCGGUAAUACGGAGGAUCCGAGCGUUAUCCGGAUUUAUUGGGUUUAAAGGGAGCGUAGGUGGAUUGUUAAGUCAGUUGUGAAAGUUUGCGGCUCAACCGUAAAAUUGCAGUUGAAACUGGCAGUCUUGAGUACAGUAGAGGUGGGCGGAAUUCGUGGUGUAGCGGUGAAAUGCUUAGAUAUCACGAAGAACUCCGAUUGCGAAGGCAGUUCACUGGACUGCAACUGACACUGAGGCUCGAAAGUGUGGGUAUCAAACAGGAUUAGAUACCCUUGUAGUC
This 460-nucleotide ribosomal RNA is filed under the name uncultured bacterium. RNAcentral's name for it is "partial 16S ribosomal RNA". It matches the Rfam family "Bacterial small subunit ribosomal RNA", at positions 338 to 795 of the family's 1533-position model. The record is from RNAcentral.